GUUGAACGCUGGCGGCGUGCUUAACACAUGCAAGUCGAACGGAAAGGCUCCUGCUUGCAGGGGUACUCGAGUGGCGAACGGGUGAGUAACACGUGGGUGAUCUGCCCAGCACUUCGGGAUAAGCCUGGGAAACUGGGUCUAAUACCGGAUAGGACGAUGGUUUGGAUGCCAUUGUGGAAAGUUUUUUCGGUGUGGGAUGAGCUCGCGGCCUAUCAGCUUGUUGGUGGGGUAAUGGCCUACCAAGGCGUCGACGGGUAGCCGGCCUGAGAGGGUGUACGGCCACAUUGGGACUGAGAUACGGCCCAGACUCCUACGGGAGGCAGCAGUGGGGAAUAUUGCACAAUGGGCGCAAGCCUGAUGCAGCGACGCCGCGUGGGGGAUGACGGCCUUCGGGUUGUAAACUCCUUUCGCUAGGGACGAAGCGCAAGUGACGGUACCUGGAGAAGAAGCACCGGCUAACUACGUG
Molecule: ribosomal RNA, 466 nt
Filed under: uncultured bacterium
Lineage: Bacteria
Description: partial 16S ribosomal RNA
Rfam family: Bacterial small subunit ribosomal RNA
Source: RNAcentral